Molecule: RNA transcript, 1842 nt
Organism: Lycium ferocissimum
Lineage: Eukaryota; Viridiplantae; Streptophyta; Magnoliopsida; Solanales; Solanaceae
Gene name: putative PAP-specific phosphatase, mitochondrial
Exons: 9
Source: RefSeq, a predicted model, not a curated record
AUGUACAAAAGGAUUUCAGAGUGAGCACCUGCGGAGAACACAACUCACUCCCUAACACAGGAAGCUUACCCUUCCAACUGGGCCAAUCCAUGGCAUUAGAAACCAUGUACCUUUAGCAAUAAUUAUUGUACCUCCAUGGAUCUCCUCCAAUGCUCCACCAUCCUGUUCCCUAAAACUCAACUCAAUCGUCUCUUCCGCACACCACUUGGCCCAUGCUUCGCUGCCAUGAGGUCAAGUUUGAGCCUUCCAUUUCCCGGACAGAAAGCAAAAUACUUUAAAGAGCUGGAAGCUGCUGUUGAUGUUGUUGAGCGAGCUUGUCGUCUCUGCAUUGAUGUGAAGAGUUUGCUGUUCUCCAAUGAUGAUAGGAUUAUUGAGAAAAAUGACCAAACCCCAGUCACUAUUGCAGAUUUCGGUGUGCAGGCUUUGGUCAGCUUGGAGAUGAACAGACUCUUCCCAUCCAUUCCCUUGGUGGCUGAAGAGGACUCAUCAUUCUUGCGGUCAACUAAUCUAGUUGGAUCAGUGGUUGAUGUGGUCGCGAAUAAAGCAACUUUUAGAGACGAAGUAACAGAAGACAAUGUCUUGAAAGCAAUUGACAGAGGGGGAAAGGAUGCUUGUAAGUUUGGGCCUAACCCAGCUACAUACUGGGUACUAGAUCCCAUUGAUGGGACACGAGGGUUUGUUAGAGGCGUUGAAGCUCUUUAUGUGGUGGCUUUGGCUCUUGUGGUUGAUGGACAGAUUGUCUUGGGAGUUACGGGGUGCCCUAACUGGGAUGAAGACUAUUUUGUUAAUUGUGUCACUGGGGUCCAAGAAACUGGAAACAAUUUUUCUAGAUCAGGGAUGAUCAUGGUUUCUCAUGUGGGUUGUGGAACGUGGAAACAAAGGUUGUCGGACAUGUUAACCAUCGAGUUGCCUCAAAGUUGGACAAGAUGCUCCGUUGAUGGAUGCCAAGUACUUGAGGAGGCACGUUUUUGUACUCCAGAAAGUCAAAAGUGGGAAUCAUUUCCUCUAUCAUCCUCAUUUAAUGCAAAAACAAACUCUGAAAAAAUAGGGAAAAGAGACAUCCUUCUUGUGCCUGCAUGCUGUGGAAGUUUGUGCAAAUAUAUGAUGGUGGCUUCUGGUAGAGCAUCUGUGUUUCUUCUUCGUGCAACAACCAGAAAAGUUAUGAAGCAUUCUGAUAUGAACAUAUGACUCCACUGAAGAAAAUCUCUGGCUAUGCCCCUGCUUGGGACCAUGCUGCUGGAAUCAUAUGUGUUCAUGAAGCUGGGGGAAAGGGGCAUGCUCAAAGCUAGACAUUUGGAGCGUAGACAAUAUAAAUGGGGGCCCAACAUCGGGUAAACAAAGAAUUGAGAUGGCUCUGGCUUGGCUACUAUGAUAAGAAAAUGGACCUUGGUCUAACUCAACCCCAAAAGCUAGCUCAAGAGUUGAAGAUUGCCCAAGACCCUGUUAUAAAGAGACAAUUAAUCCAUCACUAACCGAUUUGGGAGAUUCAACACUUUGGUAUCUCCUUUGAUAUGAUAAUGAAUAUGUGCUACCUCAUAAAAAAUCUCUUCUGUUAAUCCUCUAAGUUCGCUUAUAGCCCCAGAGAAGCAAUAGCUACAUAAAAUACCAUGUGAUCUAUCAUGCGAUCUAUUAUUUUUUCAUUCUUUAGAUGACUCUAUAUACUAGUAUCAAGCUUUUCCGUGGGCGUGUUACUAUAAGAUGUAUCCUGUUUGCAACGUUGUUCAUUUGGCACAGUAGGAUGUAAAGUGAGGGAAAUUUUCUGAGCGCUUUGAUUUCUUCCUUGAUUCUUCUUGUUGUAAAGGUUUUAUUAAUUAAUCCUUUUCCUUUCUACUUGAGGGAAAA